This is a long non-coding RNA of Etheostoma spectabile (orangethroat darter), 670 nucleotides long. RefSeq lists it as uncharacterized. The transcript is spliced from 3 exons. The record is from RefSeq and is a predicted model, not a curated record. Lineage: Eukaryota; Metazoa; Chordata; Actinopteri; Perciformes; Percidae.
CCUUCUGUCAGGACGCUUCCCUUUCGUUCUUUCGCUUUAGCUCGUACGCAGCCUUCAUCUUCUUCUUCUGCUUCUUCUUCUUCUUCCCCUAACUAAAGAGCCGUCCGUCACUAGUGCGACUCCAUUGCUGCUCUGCCAACGGGCGGCGCCCGUGACCACUGUGGGACAAGAAGCCUGAGGGUCAGGGCUGACCUGGGUCUCUGCUGGUCCUGACCGGGACAAGGCCAUCUGGAUUGAUAGGGUAAAAGGAAGCCCAGCGCGUCUCUGAAACCUUCUUCACACAACGCCUGCAUGCCGGCGCUGGGUGGAGGGAACAGAGCCCGGUUCAGACGUUUGAGGUUUUCCACGGAGAGCUGAGGAAACCAAAGGAAACGCCACAUUUACAUCGAGCCUUCAACCACACUGGUGACAGUACACUGCCACUGAGACCCAGCUACCACUGACAUGGUGAGUGGAACCUUCUCUACUCCUGCUCCACAUCUCAGACGUAAACUUAAGGUAAACAGGGAUCCCAGUUAUGGACUAGACUCAAGACUUAAGAUGUGUGUCUUCAUCAAAUGAUCCAAUCCUCACCAUUAUGUUCAUGUUGGCCAGUGCGAGUUGAGUGUUGAAGCGCCCCCUGUGGACGGGACACACGUCCUGCAGUCCGGCAAACGGAGACACAGUGAUG